This 393-nucleotide unclassified non-coding RNA is filed under the name fungal sp. Its description in RNAcentral is "partial internal transcribed spacer region". The stretch from base 1 to 46 matches the Rfam family "Eukaryotic small subunit ribosomal RNA", at positions 1786 to 1831 of the family's 1831-position model. Lineage: Eukaryota; Fungi. The record is from RNAcentral.
AAGUCGUAACAAGGUAUCCGUAGGUGAACCUGCGGAUGGAUCAUUAACACUUUCCAAAAACAACUGAGUUCUACACCAUGGCUAGCGUCAUUGUUGUAGGCUUGGUUUUCAAACCCAAAUCAGCGAACUUGUCAACGGCAUAGCAUGUUUGUUUGAUUGUUUCAAACAAACAAACAAACACAAAGUUAUGUCCGUUCGUUUUCUCCUUGUCAAUUUUACUUUUAUUAUUCAACACUCUUUUUUUCUUUUCCUUCAUUGGAUGGAAAAAAGCAGCGUCAAACGAAAUAACUUGACUAAGAAGAAAAAAAAUCCCACGUUUAAUGAACAUUAAAUGAGGGAAAAAGAAAAAAUAAACAAAAAAUACAACUCUUAACAACGGAUAUCUUGGCUCUC